Molecule: long non-coding RNA, 2912 nt
Filed under: Homo sapiens (human)
Lineage: Eukaryota; Metazoa; Chordata; Mammalia; Primates; Hominidae
Description: HSALNT0116209
Source: RNAcentral
CAGGGCAGAAUCUGCAGUGAGUUCCUAAGGAAGCUUUUGCCUCCCUCUCCUCCUGCAUGCAAUGGGGAGCUGAUGGCUGCAGUGGCUGCAACGUGGACCUGACUAUGAAGCAAAGGGGGAGAGAACUGCAGACGAGCUGCCUUCACACAACAUCAUGAAUCCAUGCCAGGACCACGUACCCCGACCUUUUUGUUAUGUGAGGAAAAUCACCCUCUCUCGGGAGGGGCCCGGUGGAAGGAGGUUGACAGCUGCAGAGGCAGUGACUCAGUGAAAAGUGGAGAGUUCCAGAGUCCCAGGACCCAACUUGGAAGUCAGCCACCAUGUUGUGAGGAAGCCCAAGCCACAUGGAAGGGUCGCUGCAGGUGUGCCAGCCCAGAGUCUCAGCUGAGGCCUCAGAAGACAGCCAACAUCUACUGUGAUGACGCCCAGAUCAUACCAGUCCCCAGAGGUCAAGUUAUCUCAACCUACAGGUCGUUCCAGAUGAUAACCCAGUAAUUUUGCAACAAAGGCAAGCCAGCUCCUAUGUUCUGCUUAUAUGCCUGACCCACAGAGUCCACGAGCAUAAUGCAAUAUUUGUUUAUGUCAGCUGUGGUAUAGUUUUUUACUAACUUUUCUUUAUGAGUUUGUACAGGGAGAGAGAAUUAAGAGACUCAGAUGCCAGACCCUAAAGAUAAGGUGCUUUGUUACGAUAAGGAAUUCUCUUUCCAGACAUUUAUAAUUUAAGGUAUGUUGAUGUAUUUAGUGCCUAAAUGUCUUAGCAUGGUAUUUCCUUGUGUUUUAUACAGUUUGUCUUUCUCUACUCCCCAGCACUACAACGAACAUAUGUACAAACUUGUGUCACCAGAAAUUGUAAGUGACAUCUGCAAAGAGAGAGAUUGAGAGAAAGAGAAAGAGAGAGAGAGAGAAGACAAACAGAGACAGGGAGAGAGAGGCAGAGAGAAAUGGAGACCGAGAGAGAUUGAUUUAUCCUGUAAACAUCCACAUCACUUUACUUAACCUCUUUUGGUACUCGGCCUUUCAAUUUUGUAAUACGGCCAAUGAGGAAUUUCGGCAAAUCUCAUAUCUAGGAGACCUAGGAGCUUGUGAAGUCCUUGUCCAUCAGUGGCUGUGCAUUCACUGGCUCCUGGCAUGGUGUCUGGUCUUGAGUGUAGACAGUCAGCCUUGGAGAAUGUUUACUAAAUGCACAGUGAAGGGAGCAUGUGCAUCUCACCUUCCUGGCUACCUUAGUUCUCAUGAUAUCCUCAGAGGAGCUCUUUCUAAUAAUGGUUAUUUGUCAUUUCCAAGGGUGUGCUACAUUUUGCAUUUAUUUAACAUCCUGAAAUUGUUACAUAAUACGUUUAUUAUAUUAUAAUCUCCUUUGUGUCUCUGGUAAUAUGCACUUUUGUUAAAUUUUCAUAUGUAUCAUUGCUUUAUCUAAUAGAUCACAUUUAGGACAAGCAAUGGAUUAAGACUGCCUUAUCAGGGAAAUCUAAUGCUUGUCUUUAAGAAGAGAGGUUUAGCUUCAAUUAAGACAUAUACAUCUAAGAUUUAUCACUGCAAGUAGAUACUUAAUGUCUGUGUUUGGAAUGUACUAAUUAGGUUCCAAUUAGCAGGGUCAAAAUAUGUAAAUCAAAAGCACUUCAUCCCCUUUGGUGUCUCUUUCUCUCCCAUAACUAAUUAUCUGUACUCUUCUUGGUCCCAGCAAACACCACGGACCAUGUCUUUAAGUCUCUAAUAUGGUUUCUUCAAGUAUGGGCCAGGUGCUGUCAACCUGUAUGUUCCUCCUGAAUAAGUCCCUGAGGGUGGGAGCAGAGGGUCUGCAUUUUACCAAGAAGACCAAGUAAUCUCACUGGAAAAUAUAGCUUGAGAAAUACUAUUCUUUAGCCACUUAGGCAUUUUCACUAUGAUAUCUUUAGGGUUUAUCUGAUGGAUACUUACCAAGUGUUUCUCAUCUCUCCAGGGGCUGUGAGUAGCAUAAGAAAGCCUAACCCACCGCCCUAUCCUGGAAGUGUGGUCAGGUUAUUAAGGUAUUGCAGAUGACAAUCAUCAUACAGGGCAGCUUUUUCAGUGACUCAAAGAAAACCCUUAGUAUUCCAUAAGCUGAUAUACCUUUUAAAGUUCAUUUCUAAACUAAACAUUGCAAAAAGUUUCUUGUCAAAAGAGAUUUCAGAUGUCUCUAUAUACUGUUUCUUGUAUAAAUCACACACCCUUACCAAGAGCCCUGAGCUGGGACCCACAAAUGGAAAUCAAAGGUAAUGUGUUCCUCCAUUAUAUAAUAGGAAUUUCAUAAAACCCAUACAACAGUCAUCUGUGUUAUACAGAAAAACAUUCAUCACUGAGCAUUUGAACAUUUUGAUGUUUCUGAAGUACAGAAUUCAUGACACUCUGCAAGUUUUUCCAACCAAUUUACAAAUUAUUUUCAUCCCUCAUCUUAUUAUCCUACCUAGUGUCAACUUGUUCUUUCGGCAUAAUCAAUCUGAAUGACUGGUAAGGUUUCAUAGUGCAGCACUUUAGUUUAUGCAGACAUCUGCCCAAAAGCAUCUCAAUCACUCAUAGCAAGAAACAGGGGCAGCAUUAGCCAUGAGGAAAUGCUGUUUUGUUACACAUGUAUAUCUAAAGACAGGGCUAUUUGUAUAAAAGAAAGUCAGGGUAGUGAUAGACAGAACUAAUGUAUCAAUGUCAGCAGAAAAUGCAAGUCAAGGUAUGGCAGCAAAAAUCAGCCUCACAGGGUACCUGGAACACCAUUAAUUUAAAUUUAAAGCCCUUGUGGGGAAACGGAUAUGAUAUAAUCACUAAAUUAUCAUUCAUAAAUGAAGGUCUAUCAAGUAGACUAUAGUAUUAUAUUUAUAUAAGAAAAUCUUUUCACCUUGCAUUCACACAUAGGGGUUUAUGUUGCUUUAAGUAUUUUUCUAGUUUUAUCAUUACAUUCUUAA